This 239-nucleotide long non-coding RNA is filed under the name Homo sapiens (human). RNAcentral describes it as "LNC_000537". The record is from RNAcentral. Lineage: Eukaryota; Metazoa; Chordata; Mammalia; Primates; Hominidae.
UGAACUUUAAGGUAGUUUUUUCCAAUUCUGUGAAGAAAGUCAUUGGCAGCUUGAUGGGGAUGGCAUUGAAUCUAUAAAUUACCUUGGGCAGUAUGGCCAUUUUCAUGGUAUUGAUUCUUCCUAUCCAUGAGCAUGGAAUGUUCUUCCAUUUGUUUGUAUCCUCUUUUAUUUCAUUGAGCAGUAGUUUGUAGUUCUCCUUGAGGAGGUCCUUCACAUCCCUUGUAAGUUGGAUUCCUAGG